This 2923-nucleotide ribosomal RNA is filed under the name Klebsiella pneumoniae. RNAcentral's name for it is "23S ribosomal RNA". It matches the Rfam family "Bacterial large subunit ribosomal RNA". The record is from RNAcentral. Lineage: Bacteria; Pseudomonadati; Pseudomonadota; Gammaproteobacteria; Enterobacterales; Enterobacteriaceae.
GGGUUGUGAGGUUAAGCGACUAAGCGUACACGGUGGAUGCCCUGGCAGUCAGAGGCGAUGAAGGACGUGCUAAUCUGCGAAAAGCGUCGGUAAGGUGAUAUGAACCGUUAUAACCGGCGAUGUCCGAAUGGGGAAACCCAGUGUGAUUCGUCACACUAUCGUUAACUGAAUACAUAGGUUAACGAGGCGAACCGGGGGAACUGAAACAUCUAAGUACCCCGAGGAAAAGAAAUCAACCGAGAUUCCCCCAGUAGCGGCGAGCGAACGGGGAGCAGCCCAGAGUCUGAAUCAGCUUGUGUGUUAGUGGAACGGUCUGGAAAGUCCGACGGUACAGGGUGAUAGUCCCGUACACCAAAAUGCACAGGUUGUGAACUCGAAGAGUAGGGCGGGACACGUGGUAUCCUGUCUGAAUAUGGGGGGACCAUCCUCCAAGGCUAAAUACUCCUGACUGACCGAUAGUGAACCAGUACCGUGAGGGAAAGGCGAAAAGAACCCCGGCGAGGGGAGUGAAAAAGAACCUGAAACCGUGUACGUACAAGCAGUGGGAGCACCUUCGGGUGUGACUGCGUACCUUUUGUAUAAUGGGUCAGCGACUUAUAUUCUGUAGCAAGGUUAACCGUAUAGGGGAGCCGCAGGGAAACCGAGUCUUAACUGGGCGUUAAGUUGCAGGGUAUAGACCCGAAACCCGGUGAUCUAGCCAUGGGCAGGUUGAAGGUUGGGUAACACUAACUGGAGGACCGAACCGACUAAUGUUGAAAAAUUAGCGGAUGACUUGUGGCUGGGGGUGAAAGGCCAAUCAAACCGGGAGAUAGCUGGUUCUCCCCGAAAGCUAUUUAGGUAGCGCCUCGUGAACUCAUCUUCGGGGGUAGAGCACUGUUUCGGCUAGGGGGUCAUCCCGACUUACCAACCCGAUGCAAACUACGAAUACCGAAGAAUGUUAUCACGGGAGACACACGGCGGGUGCUAACGUCCGUCGUGAAGAGGGAAACAACCCAGACCGCCAGCUAAGGUCCCAAAGUCAUGGUUAAGUGGGAAACGAUGUGGGAAGGCACAGACAGCCAGGAUGUUGGCUUAGAAGCAGCCAUCAUUUAAAGAAAGCGUAAUAGCUCACUGGUCGAGUCGGCCUGCGCGGAAGAUGUAACGGGGCUAAACCAUGCACCGAAGCUGCGGCAGCGACACUAUGUGUUGUUGGGUAGGGGAGCGUUCUGUAAGCCUGCGAAGGUGACCUGUGAGGGUUGCUGGAGGUAUCAGAAGUGCGAAUGCUGACAUAAGUAACGAUAAAGCGGGUGAAAAGCCCGCUCGCCGGAAGACCAAGGGUUCCUGUCCAACGUUAAUCGGGGCAGGGUGAGUCGACCCCUAAGGCGAGGCCGAAAGGCGUAGUCGAUGGGAAACAGGUUAAUAUUCCUGUACUUGGUGUUACUGCGAAGGGGGGACGGAGAAGGCUAUGUUAGCCGGGCGACGGUUGUCCCGGUUUAAGCAUGUAGGCUGGUUAUCCAGGCAAAUCCGGAUAAUCAAGGCUGAGGUGUGAUGACGAGGUACUACGGUGCUGAAGUAACAAAUGCCCUGCUUCCAGGAAAAGCCUCUAAGCAUCAGGUAACAUCAAAUCGUACCCCAAACCGACACAGGUGGUCAGGUAGAGAAUACCAAGGCGCUUGAGAGAACUCGGGUGAAGGAACUAGGCAAAAUGGUGCCGUAACUUCGGGAGAAGGCACGCUGGUGUGUAGGUGAAGUCCCUGCGGAUGGAGCUGAGACCAGUCGAAGAUACCAGCUGGCUGCAACUGUUUAUUAAAAACACAGCACUGUGCAAACACGAAAGUGGACGUAUACGGUGUGACGCCUGCCCGGUGCCGGAAGGUUAAUUGAUGGGGUUAUCCGUAAGGAGAAGCUCUUGAUCGAAGCCCCGGUAAACGGCGGCCGUAACUAUAACGGUCCUAAGGUAGCGAAAUUCCUUGUCGGGUAAGUUCCGACCUGCACGAAUGGCGUAAUGAUGGCCAGGCUGUCUCCACCCGAGACUCAGUGAAAUUGAACUCGCUGUGAAGAUGCAGUGUACCCGCGGCAAGACGGAAAGACCCCGUGAACCUUUACUAUAGCUUGACACUGAACAUUGAGCCUUGAUGUGUAGGAUAGGUGGGAGGCUUUGAAGCGUGGACGCCAGUCUGCGUGGAGCCAACCUUGAAAUACCACCCUUUAAUGUUUGAUGUUCUAACGUUGGCCCCUUAUCGGGGUUGCGGACAGUGUCUGGUGGGUAGUUUGACUGGGGCGGUCUCCUCCCAAAGCGUAACGGAGGAGCACGAAGGUUAGCUAAUCCUGGUCGGACAUCAGGAGGUUAGUGCAAUGGCAUAAGCUAGCUUGACUGCGAGCGUGACGGCGCGAGCAGGUGCGAAAGCAGGUCAUAGUGAUCCGGUGGUUCUGAAUGGAAGGGCCAUCGCUCAACGGAUAAAAGGUACUCCGGGGAUAACAGGCUGAUACCGCCCAAGAGUUCAUAUCGACGGCGGUGUUUGGCACCUCGAUGUCGGCUCAUCACAUCCUGGGGCUGAAGUAGGUCCCAAGGGUAUGGCUGUUCGCCAUUUAAAGUGGUACGCGAGCUGGGUUUAGAACGUCGUGAGACAGUUCGGUCCCUAUCUGCCGUGGGCGCUGGAGAAUUGAGGGGGGCUGCUCCUAGUACGAGAGGACCGGAGUGGACGCAUCACUGGUGUUCGGGUUGUCAUGCCAAUGGCACUGCCCGGUAGCUAAAUGCGGAAGAGAUAAGUGCUGAAAGCAUCUAAGCACGAAACUUGCCCCGAGAUGAGUUCUCCCUGAGACUUUAAGUCUCCUGAAGGAACGUUAAAGACGAUGACGUUGAUAGGCCGGGUGUGUAAGCGCAGCGAUGCGUUGAGCUAACCGGUACUAAUGAACCGUGAGGCUUAACCUUACAACGCCGAAG